UACAGAGGGUGCAAGCGUUAAUCGGAAUUACUGGGCGUAAAGCGCGCGUAGGUGGUUUGUUAAGUUGAAUGUGAAAGCCCCGGGCUCAACCUGGGAACUGCAUCCAAAACUGGCAAGCUAGAGUACGGUAGAGGGUGGUGGAAUUUCCUGUGUAGCGGUGAAAUGCGUAGAUAUAGGAAGGAACACCAGUGGCGAAGGCGACCACCUGGACUGAUACUGACACUGAGGCGCGAAAGCGUGGGGAGCAAACAGG
Molecule: ribosomal RNA, 253 nt
Filed under: uncultured bacterium
Lineage: Bacteria
Description: partial 16S ribosomal RNA
Rfam family: Bacterial small subunit ribosomal RNA
Source: RNAcentral